Molecule: long non-coding RNA, 211 nt
Filed under: Elaeis guineensis (African oil palm)
Lineage: Eukaryota; Viridiplantae; Streptophyta; Magnoliopsida; Arecales; Arecaceae
Description: long non-coding RNA (EGUI_LNC042464)
Source: RNAcentral
GUAUCAAUGCUCCAAAUUUCAUCAAAAAAUCAUUGCUCAUUUCUUUAUCAUGGUUGGGAAUGAUAUCAACCAUUCGAUCACUCAUCAAAUUUGAUUUGGAUCGUUGAUCAGUGUAGAGGAUCCUUUCUCUCAGCCAGCAACUCACCGCUGCCAUCCGAUCGAGUAAACUAGCCACUGUCGAUCAUUCGAUCGUGCAAUCCCUGUGGGCCAC